This 240-nucleotide ribosomal RNA is filed under the name uncultured bacterium. RNAcentral describes it as "partial 16S ribosomal RNA". The record is from RNAcentral.
AGGUGAGGUAACGGCCCACCAAGGCGAUGASGUGUAGUUAUGCUGAGAGGUAGAAUAACCACAAUGGGAYUGAGACACGGCCCAUACUCCUACGGGAGGCAGCAGUAGGGAAUUUUUCACAAUGGACGAAAGUCUGAUGGAGCAAUGCCGCGUGAACGAUGAAGGUCUUAAMGGAUUGUAAAGUUCUUUUAUUUGGGAAGAAUUGCUAGCAAAGGAAAUGUUGCUAGUUUGACGGUMCCC